CAGCAGCCACGGUAAUACGAAGGGUGCAAGCGUUAAUCGGAAUUACUGGGCGUAAAGCGUGCGUAGGCGGUAAGUUAAGUCUGCUGUGAAAUCCCCGGGCUCAACCUGGGAAUGGCAGUGGAUACUGGCUCGCUAGAGUGUGUCAGAGGAUGGUGGAAUUCCCGGUGUAGCGGUGAAAUGCGUAGAGAUCGGGAGGAACAUCAGUGGCGAAGGCGGCCAUCUGGGACAACACUGACGCUGAGGCACGAAAGCGUGGGGAGCAAACAGGAUUAGAUACCCCAGUAGUCCCUGUCUCUUAUAC
Molecule: ribosomal RNA, 301 nt
Filed under: uncultured bacterium
Lineage: Bacteria
Description: partial 16S ribosomal RNA
Rfam family: Bacterial small subunit ribosomal RNA
Source: RNAcentral